Long non-coding RNA from Ahaetulla prasina, 2688 nucleotides. RefSeq lists it as uncharacterized. Lineage: Eukaryota; Metazoa; Chordata; Lepidosauria; Squamata; Colubridae. The record is from RefSeq and is a predicted model, not a curated record. The transcript has 2 exons.
UGCGCAGAUAGUGGGUUCCAUAGAUUUAUUCCAAGUAGAGCCGCGCGUCGCUGAGCACUUUGGGUUUAGGAGACCCGCUUGCUUACAAUAAGAAAUCCCAUGACAUUUCACUGCAGAGUGAACAAUAUCGGAAUCGGUUAUUGCGACUAAUGGAGAAACAUCAUCAGUAAUUGGAGAACUAAGCACGGAUUUAAGUGCCUAAUCCCCGGACUCUUUUUCAAGCUAAUUGGUUGCGACUGGAUGUAGGAAAUCCGUACUGGAGCAAGCAGAGAUCCUAAUUCAGGAGUCUCCAACCUUGGUCCCUUUAAGACUUGUGGACUUCAACUCCCAGAGUUCCUCAGCCAGCAAAGCUAGGAGUUGAAGUCCACAAGUCUUAAAGGGACCAAGGUUGGAGAUCCCUGCUAUAGAUCUCCUGUAUAUCUGAUCCAAACUGAAGCAGUUAUAUGCCAGUUUUAGUUUACAAUUUCCAUUGUCUAAAGUUCAUUUUCUAUGCCAAUUCAGUAUGUUAAUGUUAAUGUAUAAAGAUAUCCUUGACUUGGGGCUACUAUUUUUAAAAUAACACCUUAACCCACAAAUAUUGAAGAGAAUAUUGGAAUAUUUUAGUUAUUUUAGCUACCAAAAUAUAUAUGUUUAAAGGAUAUUAAGAGAUUGCAUCUCGUGAGGUUGCCAGCAAGCAAUUAUGCUUAUAUAUACUGUUGUGACCAAUAAAUAAAAUAAAAAUAAAAUAAAAUAAUCUAUAACAGUUUAUGUCCUUAUGCCUACAACAGAUUUCAGUCUUAUAACUAGCCAACUGGCUGAUACAAAGAAAGUUAGGUAGCAGGAUUGGUCCUGGAUUUUACGGUACUUUAUGGGAGAUCUUCAGGACAUUUUAAGAUGGUUGAUGGCUUCUGAAAAGUGAUGGCUUGUGUUGUGUUUUACUUACUACACAUGAAACAUGGUGUCAGAAGCCUCUGAAUCUGUGCUGGCUCUACACACUUGAUGCAUGCUGGUCUAGUGUUUGUGGUCCUGUCCUGGAAGCUGAGCAUUUGAAGCAAGAAAAUCAGUAUACCACUGCCUGAGGCAAUGAGGGUGAGUGGGGAUUGCAGCGGUAACUGGGACAACUUCAGAGAAGAGUUUGAGGAUUACUCCCUAGCCACAGGCUUAAAUGAUAAGCUGGCAGCAGUGCAGGCAGCCACGUUGAGGAGGCUGAUGAGCAGCGAAUGCCUCCGUGUUUACAGGCACAAUUUAACUCUUACAGAGGAGUGAAGAAGUGAUCCUAAAUCCAUCUUAGAUGCCUUAGAAGACUUUUUCAGAUCCUCUAAAAAUGUCAUAUAUGAAAGAUAUAUUUGGCAGCUGUAGGCAAGAAGAAGGUGAAUCAAUAGACAGUUUCGUCACAUGGCUAAGAGGAAAAGCUGUGAGUAUGGUUCUCUGAGAGAUGAACUUAUUCGUGAUAAAAUAAUUCUGAAUAUCACUAGUGAAAGCACAUGCCACCGCCUUUUGAGGGAAAAUAAUUUAAGUUUACAAGCAGCAAUUGAGAUAUGUCAUACCACAGAACCUACUGACAAACGGAUGAAAGCUUUGGAGCAGGUUAAAUUGACAGUGCCAAUGCAGUCUCCAAACAACAGCUAAGCAUGAAGAACCAUAUGCACAAAAUUCAUUUAUACAACUCACCUGGGAGCAAACCAGUAUCAUGCAGGUACUGUUGUAGUGUGUGUGUACAAGAGAGAAAACAGUGUCCUGCAUAUGGGAAAAUUUGCAGAGCAUGUGACUUCCUCACCACGUCAUCCAAAAGCUAAUGGCAAAGAUGAAUCAGAUGUGAAGAUUGUUAAGAGUUUAUGCAAGAAAGCACAAAGUGAUGGUAAAGGCUCAUGGAAGGCCAUUCUAUAUUGAAGAAAUACUCCAGCUGAGGCCAUGGACAGUAGCCUGGUGCAGAGACUGAUGUCAAGGAGACUAAAGACCUCCUUACCAUAAAUUGCUUGAGCCGUCUGUGAUACAGGGUGCCCCAGAAAAAUUACAGCUUAAGAGACAAGCAUUCAAGGCAAGAUAUGACAAAUCAGCCAGAGAUUUGCCAGGGUUGAAUAUUGGGGAAUGAAUCCAUAUGAAACCGCUGCCUGGAGAUCGAACAGGUUGCUGAAAAAUGGGUAUCUGUUCAGAACAGGUGGCACCACACUCUUAUCUAGUGGACAUUGAGGGAACCUCUCUAUUGCACAAUCAUAUGGAUCUGCGGGUGGCUGAGCAGCCUGAUUCUCCAUAUCCAGUGGCCAGGCCAGAUUUACCCACUGACAAUAGGGAAUGCAUAGUGUUGAUGCCACAGACCAAUGUUAAUGACAAUCCUGAGCAAGCCGGUAUACCUGACAGCAGUCAAUUGCAGAACUUCCCAGUAAGUGGUGAGAAGAGUCCAGCAACCUCAGAGAAACUCUUAGUGCAGAGGGCCAGUCUUCACCCGUAGUGGCAGAUGUUCACAACCACCCAACAGACUUAAGCUAUAGGAAGCAUUGGUAUUGGUUCUCAUUCCGAAAUUUCACUGUUGUUUGGUUAACGUGAAAAGGGAAAGGUGUUACAGGUGUUACGUUUCUUAUAUGCAACUCUAUCAUCCAUCUCUAUUGUAUUUGUUUCCUGUAUCAUAUUGCUAUGCUAUGUUCCUGUGAUGCAUCUUCCUGCUCCUAUUGUAUUUCUUACUCUAAUAAUAAGAUGACUUCUGCACAGUGA